Molecule: long non-coding RNA, 766 nt
Filed under: Nicotiana tabacum (common tobacco)
Lineage: Eukaryota; Viridiplantae; Streptophyta; Magnoliopsida; Solanales; Solanaceae
Description: long non-coding RNA (NTAB_LNC007033)
Source: RNAcentral
UUGUGGCAAAGAAGCCUUCAACUCUGCAUCUGCUGCUGCUCUAUCUCCACAUGACAUUUUAUCACCUCAAGUACUUCCCUCACUUCUUUUGCACAUAUUGAACUUCCAUAUGAUUGUAUCAAGUAUGAAUUUUACUUCAAUUAUGCAAUCUAGAAACAUGAAAAUGUGAAUCAUAAGAUGCCACAAAUCCAAACAUGGAAAUACCUUGUUCGAGCAAAUACACAUGCCAACCAGUCCAUGGUGAACUGAAGGCACAGUCCACAGAAAAAUCUGCCAGAACGACAUGGAAAAAAAAAUAAAACGAUCUCAAAAUGCAAUUAAAAUGCAUUACAGCUACAUGGAUAUCUAAUUGGCCAAAAUAUCGAGAAAGUAAGAUGUCACCAGCGUCUUCUAUGUGAACAAAAGUUAAUUCUCAAGUGUUCUGCUAAAAUUGAUUUUUUUUCUUCUUUUUUUCCUUAGAGUAGAUUCCCACAACAUCAGAUGAAUACCAGAAACAGAAGAGUUGGACCUCAUGUUCAAGUUUUCAUUCAAAUGUAAAACCAUACUUGCGGGACUGAUUUCAACUUCCACUUCAUGAAAGACAGUAUAUUAUGAUAUCUUAAAUGGAGACUUUCUUAUAUACAUAGGAGAAGAAGAUACCAAAUCUCAUAGAGUGACUUCAGGUUCUUUCAGCUGUCACAGCAGUGAGUAGAGGAUAGUAGAGGAUCAGAUCCAUCAAUCUUAUUUGCCUUCCUGCUCCCAAAAAAUAUAAAACAAAAAUAACAAC